GUCCUGGCCGUAAACGAUGGGUACUAGGUGUAGGGGGUAUCGACCCCUCCUGUGCCGGAGUUAACGCAAUAAGUACCCCGCCUGGGGAGUACGAUCGCAAGAUUGAAACUCAAAGGAAUUGACGGGGGCCCGCACAAGCGGUGGAGUAUGUGGUUUAAUUCGACGCAACGCGAAGAACCUUACCAAGGCUUGACAUUGAGUGAAAGCUUCAGAGAUGAAGCCCUCCCUUCGGGGACACAAAACAGGUGGUGCAUGGCUGUCGU
Molecule: ribosomal RNA, 263 nt
Filed under: uncultured bacterium
Lineage: Bacteria
Description: partial 16S ribosomal RNA
Rfam family: Bacterial small subunit ribosomal RNA
Source: RNAcentral